Corticium candelabrum is the source of this 1397-nucleotide long non-coding RNA. RefSeq lists it as uncharacterized. The record is from RefSeq and is a predicted model, not a curated record. The transcript is spliced from 3 exons. NCBI's taxonomy places the organism in Eukaryota, Metazoa, Porifera, Homoscleromorpha, Homosclerophorida, Plakinidae.
UAAUGGACACGUGAGGGCAAUCUGAAUUACACGUGAGUCUAGUAGUGAUUUACAUGUGAGUGUAGUAUCUAGUAAACAUAGUAGUAAUCACAAACCCAUUACGUGAUUUUUAAUUUUUUUAAUGUAUACAUACCUAACCUCGAAGUUCCAGACCGUCUCCAAAGAAAUGAUAGAAGGUCUGGAUCAACUUCUGAUCGAACCGAGUUCGGAAGUGAUCAAAGUCAGCCAAUCAGCAAGCUGCCGCCACUUAAGUGGCAGCCAAUGAAUGUCGAGGGUUUUGUCAUGACUUGCAUGGCUUCUGGCAAAGGCGUGUUCGACAAUUGCAUGCAUGUGCGUCUUUUUUUAUAUAUGCCAUGAGGUCUUUACCCAAUCAUCUGAUCAAUUUGACUACUUUAUAAUGCACUAUAUUGAGCCAGAUAUUACACUAACAUAACCUACACUUGACUAUAAUUUUCUGCAUGAAUUACCCAUGUCUAUACAAAACUUCUGCAUGCGUAUAGUAAACCCAUAAAAGCGUUUUUUUGUUUUAGAGGAAGGUGGAGGCGACAAAGCUGCACGCAAGCACCACUUUAGUGUUGCAAGAGCAGUUUUGGCUUGUGCACCUUGGUGUCCCAGCUAAACCCAAAAGCAAUGUCCGGAUGGAGCAUCUAUCUAGAACAGUCUAAGGUGUUUGCAAAGUUUACAGCAGGAAAUGUGGUUGGUGGAAAUUAUGAGCUGUAGAGAAUUUGAUGUUCAAGUUUUGUAAGAGAGGAUGUUGGAGUUGUGACUGGCUCAAGCACUCGUUUUGUAUCGAACAACGCUGCAUUCAGUUAUGAUCUUGAGGGUUAUGCUAACAUAUCUCAUCAGCUGAUCUAGAUCUAUUAUACCUAUAAAUCCAUCAAAUGCACGGCUACAGAGGAAGCAAAGGCAAUAUUCGAUUAGGAUGGGGUACACUAUCAUGGAAAGUAGAAGGUUGAAUUGGAUAGUGAGUUUACAUCUGCAACCUUUGAGUGGGAAGUGUCUAGGUAAUGGGAGUAAUUGCGGCUCUCACAGAGGUAUUUUUGCAACACCACAGUUAGGAGAAAUAUGGAUCAAUAAAAAUCAAUUAUGGUGGUAUUGGCUGCAGUAAACAAUUGCAAACUACCAAAAAGGACAACUGCAACUACUGUGAAUGGUUCUAUAGCAGACAAUCAAGACUACCAAAACAGACUGGAUUUCUAUUCAAGCACUGCAUGUUUUCUCUUCUGCUUGUAGACUGUUUUACUACUUGAGAUGGUUUAUUUUGUGUGUGAUAUCAUAUGGAUAUGUUUAGUCUAGACUCUUCAAUUUUACAAGCCUUUGUUGAAUGUGUCAGCAGCAACUUGUUAUCAAUGAUAUUCCUGAACGUUAUAAGAAAUAUACUGUGCAUAUACUUUACA